GCUUGCGAUGUGCCUAAGGUAUGCAAGUCGAACGAUUCCUGUAUCUUCGGAUACAGGGAGUUGGCAAACGGCUGAGUAACGCGUAGGAACCUACCCCAAACUCGAGUAUAGCCCCGCGAAAGCGGGGGUAAUCCUCGAUAGCCCGUGAAGUAUUUUACUUCACGGUAAAGCUUUUGCGGUUUGGGAUGGGCCUGCGUCCUAUCAGGUAGUUGGUGAGGUAAAUGCUCACCAAGCCUAUGACGGGUAGCUGGUCUGAGAGGAUGGUCAGCCAGACUGGGACUGCGACACGGCCCAGACUCCUACGGGAGGCAGCAACUAGGAAUUGUGCGCAAUGGACGAAAGUCUGACGCCGCGACAUCGCGUGGAGGAUGAAGGUCUUCGGAUUGUAAACUCCUUUUCUUACCGAACAAGUUCUGAGUGUAGGUAAGGAAUAAGUGCCUGCUAACCACGUGCCAGAAGCAUCGGUAAUACGUGGGGCACGAGCGUUAUCCGGAUUUACUGGGCGUAAAGAGAAGCGUAGGCGGCUCAAUAAGUUUGGUGUUAAAUCUUCCGGCUCAACCGGAAACAAGCACCGAAAACUAUCGAGAUUGAGUCGAGUAGGGAAGAGGGGAAUUCCUGGUGGAGCGGUUAAAUGCGUAGAUAUCAGGAGGAAUACCAAGGGCGAAGGCACCUCUUUGGACUCGUACUGACGCUGAGGCUCGAAAGCGUGGGUAGCAAAACGGAUUAGAUACCCGUGUAGUCCACGCCGUAAACGAUCCCUGUUAGAUGU
Molecule: ribosomal RNA, 769 nt
Filed under: uncultured organism
Description: bacterial SSU rRNA
Rfam family: Bacterial small subunit ribosomal RNA
Source: RNAcentral